This 375-nucleotide ribosomal RNA is filed under the name uncultured eukaryote. RNAcentral's name for it is "partial 18S ribosomal RNA". It matches the Rfam family "Eukaryotic small subunit ribosomal RNA", at positions 592 to 976 of the family's 1831-position model. The record is from RNAcentral.
CAAUAGCGUAUAUUAAAGUUGUUGCAGUUAAAAAGCUCGUAGUUGGAUUUCGGUUGAGAGCGGCCGGUCCGCCGUUUGGUGUGCACUGGCUGGUUUCAACUUCCUGUAGAGGACGUGCUCUGGGUUUAACGACCUGGACUCGGAGUCUACGUGGUUACUUUGAAAAAAUUAGAGUGUUCAAAGCGGGCUUACGCUUGAAUAUUUCAGCAUGGAAUAACACUAUAGGACUCCUGUCCUAUUUCGUUGGUCUCGGGACGGGAGUAAUGAUUAAGAGGAACAGUUGGGGGCAUUCGUAUUUCAUUGUCAGAGGUGAAAUUCUUGGAUUUAUGAAAGACGAACUUCUGCGAAAGCAUUUGCCAAGGAUGUUUUCAUUAA